AUUGUAGCAGACAAAACACAGUCUUUUAUCAUGAAACAACAUAAACCAGAGCAGAAAUUUAAGGUUCUUCUCUUUUGAAAACUCAGAAUGUCUUUCAAAUAUCUUACCCAUGUGUAACACAUUCUGGAAAUUUUAACCCAAUUUCAUAAUGAGUGUAGACUUGAGAACAGACAUAGUUUAAAGACCAGACAUACUUAUAAGUUAAUUAGAUCUAUGCCUCUCAGGGAUAUAGCAGUGUUCUUAUUCUACAUAUACAUGAAGAAUUUAUAUUUUCACACCAGUAGGAAGUAUACCUACAUUAAGCCUUGGCAACAUGGCCAAACUCAUCUCUACAAAAUAUCAAAAAUUAGCCGGGCAUGAUGGCUCAUACUUGUAUUCCCAGCUACUCAGCAGGCUGAGGUGAAAGGAUCUCUUGAGCCAGGGGAGGUUGAGGCUGCAGAAAGCCGUGAUUGUACCACUGCACUUCAACUUGGGUGACAGAGUGAGACCCUGUCUCAGAAGAAGAAGAAAGAGGAAAGAAGAAAGAAGGAAGAAGAAGAAAAGAAGUAUACCUGCAUAUUAUAUAGAACAAGCUGCAGUGAGGACCUGAUAGUCAAAAUUACUUGGAGGAAAAUCACAGCUCUUCUCCCCUAGAAAGUCUGCUGAGUCUCACCAGGAGAAUCUCACAGGGAGGCUGCCACGAAUUCUCUCUGCAAGGACUGUGAAACUCAGGGUCCUGGAACCUGGGGAGAUCGAGGGACAACUGUACAUCAGCCUGCUGAGAAAUGUUUUGCAGGAUUCAUGAUUGGGAUCUUCGUACUAAGCCUUUCUUGAGGGAGUGUCUCAGACUCAACCAGCCUCAAUUUUCCCAUGAAUCCUUCUUCAUUGCCUUCCUAGAUUGCUACUCCGCAUCUCAGCUGACCCCAUACAAACAAACUCCAAUAGUGUCUCCAAUCGCGUGCUGUGUUAAAUUUUAACUUUAUAACCAACCAUCAUUUGCUACUUCCAUCUAACCAAGCCAGUUUCCUUAUGAUGCACACACUUGUGUUUAGCUCACAAUUUGUUCUACAUGCUUGCUUAUUUAUUCAUUCAGCAAGUAUUUAUUGAGCCCCAACUGUGCACUAGCUGCUGUCUCA
Molecule: long non-coding RNA, 1115 nt
Filed under: Homo sapiens (human)
Lineage: Eukaryota; Metazoa; Chordata; Mammalia; Primates; Hominidae
Description: non-protein coding lnc-ATXN1-7:1
Source: RNAcentral